Molecule: ribosomal RNA, 253 nt
Filed under: uncultured bacterium
Lineage: Bacteria
Description: partial 16S ribosomal RNA
Rfam family: Bacterial small subunit ribosomal RNA
Source: RNAcentral
GACAGAGGGUGCGAACGUUGCUCGGAAUUACUGGGCGUAAAGCGCGUGUAGGUGGAUUGGUGUGUCAGAUGUGAAAUCCCUGGGCUCAAUCCAGGAACUGCACCUGAAACUACCAGUCUUGAGUGGUGGAGAGGGAAGUGGAAUUCCUGGUGUAGAGGUGAAAUUCGUAGAUAUCAGGAGGAACACCAAUGGCGAAGGCAGCACUCUGGGACGUGACUGACGCUGAGACGCGAAAGCGUGGGGAGCAAACAGG